RNAcentral lists this ribosomal RNA (408 nucleotides) under uncultured bacterium. RNAcentral describes it as "bacterial SSU rRNA". It matches the Rfam family "Bacterial small subunit ribosomal RNA", at positions 355 to 776 of the family's 1533-position model. The record is from RNAcentral.
UGGGGAAUAUUGGGCAAUGGAGGCAACUCUUACCCAGCAAUGCCGCGUGAAUGAAGAAGGUCUUCGGAUUGUAAAGUUCUUUAAUUGGGGACGAAAAAAAUGACGGUACCCAAGGAAUAAGCCCCGGCUAACUACGUGCCAGCAGCCGCGGUAAUACGUAGGGGGCAAGCGUUGUUCGGAAUGACUGGGCGUAAAGGGUGUGUAGGCGGUGUAGCAAGUUAGAAGUGAAAUACCUAGAGCUUAACUCAGGUGCUGCUUCUAAAACUGCUAUACUUGAGUGCAGUAGAGGAAAGUGGAAUUCCUAGUGUAGCGGUGGAAUGCGUAGAUAUUAGGAGGAACAUCAGUGGCGAAGGCGACUUUCUGGACUGUAACUGACGCUGAGGCACGAAAGUGUGGGGAGCAAACAGG